UACAGGGGGGGCAAGCGUUGUUCGGAAUUACUGGGCGUAAAGGGCUCGUAGGCGGCCAACUAAGUCCGACGUGAAAUCCCAAGGCUUAACUUUGGAACUGCGUCGGAUACUGGAUGGCUUGAAUUCGGGAGAGGGAUGCAGAAUUCCAGGUGUAGCGGUGAAAUGCGUAGAUAUCUGGAGGAAUACCGGUGGCGAAGGCGGAUCUCUGGGCCAUUACUGACGCUGAGGAGCGAAAGCGUGGGGAGCGAACAGG
Molecule: ribosomal RNA, 253 nt
Filed under: uncultured bacterium
Lineage: Bacteria
Description: partial 16S ribosomal RNA
Rfam family: Bacterial small subunit ribosomal RNA
Source: RNAcentral